AUGCAACGCCGAGAACCUUACCAGGAUUUGACAUCCCCGGACCGCCUUUAGAAAUAGGGUUUUCCAGGCUUUCGGUCUGGACUGGGAGACAGGUGGUGCAUGGCUGUCGUCAGCUCGUGCCGUGAGGUGUUGGGUUAAGUCCCGCAACGAGCGCAACCCUUUGUCGUCUGUUGCCAGCGGUUUGGCCGGGCACUCAGACGAGACCGCCGGAGUAAUCCGGAGGAAGAUGAGGACGACGUCAAGUCGGCAUGCCCCUUACAUCCUGGGCUACACACGUGCUACAAUGGCCGGUACAAAGAGCAGCGAAGCCGCGAGGUGGAGCGAAUCUCACAAAGCCGGUCUCAGUUCGGAUCGGGAGUCUGCAACUCGACCCCGUGAAGUCGGAAUCGCUAGUAACCGUGGGUCAGCAACACCGCGGUGAAUACGUUCCGGGCCUU
RNAcentral lists this ribosomal RNA (437 nucleotides) under uncultured Armatimonadota bacterium. Its description in RNAcentral is "bacterial SSU rRNA". It matches the Rfam family "Bacterial small subunit ribosomal RNA", at positions 954 to 1382 of the family's 1533-position model. The record is from RNAcentral. Lineage: Bacteria; Bacillati; Armatimonadota.